Molecule: transfer RNA, 71 nt
Filed under: Phytophthora infestans (potato late blight agent)
Lineage: Eukaryota; Oomycota; Peronosporomycetes; Peronosporales; Peronosporaceae
Description: tRNA-Ser
Source: RNAcentral
GCCCUUAUAGCUCAAAGGUAGAGCUUCGGUCUGGAAAGCCUAGGCCAGUGGCUCGAUCCCCGUCCCGGACA